RNAcentral lists this long non-coding RNA (204 nucleotides) under Mytilus galloprovincialis (Mediterranean mussel). Lineage: Eukaryota; Metazoa; Mollusca; Bivalvia; Mytilida; Mytilidae. The record is from RNAcentral.
UGAAAUGCAAGUUUGGUCGUUUUUUUAUCCAGUCGAAAUGUAUUGGGGACAGUUUAAAACUGUGUUAGUUAGCAUAUUACGUAGAGAAUAAUCAAUUUAAGGGCAUUUAAUAUCUUAAAUAUACAAUAUUAGGUCAAUGUCAGAAAAAUAUAAACUUUUUUGUACGAGGCUGAUAAACUGGGGAAGGGCAAGGUUCUACCGAGC